GACGAACGCUGGCGGCGUGCUUAACACAUGCAAGUCGAACGGAAAGGCCCUGCUUUUGUGGGGUGCUCGAGUGGCGAACGGGUGAGUAACACGUGAGUAACCUGCCCUUGACUUUGGGAUAACUUCAGGCAACUGGGGCUAAUACCGGAUAGGAGCUCCUGCUGCAUGGUGGGGGUUGGAAAGUUUCGGCGGUUGGGGAUGGACUCGCGGCUUAUCAGCUUGUUGGUGGGGUAGUGGCUUACCAAGGCUUUGACGGGUAGCCGGCCUGGUAGGGUGACCGGCCACGUUGGGACUGAGAUACGGCCCAGACUCCUACGGGAGGCAGCAGUGGGGAAUAUUGCACAAUGGGCGGAAGCCUGAUGCAGCAACGCCGCGUGCGGGAUGACGGCCUUCGGGUUGUAAACCGCUUUCGCCUGUGACGAAGCGUGAGUGACGGUAAUGGGUAAAGAAGCACCGGCUAACUACGUG
Molecule: ribosomal RNA, 468 nt
Filed under: uncultured bacterium
Lineage: Bacteria
Description: partial 16S ribosomal RNA
Rfam family: Bacterial small subunit ribosomal RNA
Source: RNAcentral